CAAUACAGCCUUUGUCAGAUCCUUGCGUUACACUCAUUGACAGCAUGUCACAUGAUCCCUUUCCUAGUAAAGAGCUUGGGAUAAAAAUAACCAUCGAACUAAUACCACGAAACGGCUUGGCGGGGGCUCUAUGAAUGCAAAAGGGGUGGUUGUCCUAUCUUUUUUUAGGUUUUAAAAUUCUACCGACAGAUCACAUCAUCUGUUUUUAUUGGACUGCUCCCCACCUCAAAGGGAUUGCAAGUGUAGUGGCCAACAAGUGUUAUACAUACUUCUCGUUUGAGAUUAUUUUUAACAUUUUUUGGCCACAAAUAAAAACAAUGGAAAGGCUGACAUGUUCCCAUUAUUCUAUUUUUUAAUAAAGGAGAAGGUUAGUAUGUAUAUGAUUGUGAUUAAACAUAAAAAACACAUUGAUGGUUAAGCUAUUUUAAAGAUUAACAAAAUGUUUAUAUCUUGAAAUGAAGCAUUAGGCCUAGUUCAAAUGUCGCAUUAUCCAUGAGCCGUAUUCAAUCCAAAUGCUUGCAAAUGAACCAAGGCAAUUCUUUCAUCUCCAUUUGCAUGCAUUUGCAUGGAAUACAGCUCAUGCAUAAUAUGUUUUAACUUAGCCUUAAAUAUUCAAUAUAUUCUCAAUAUAUUUACAAAACUUAACAGACACUCAAGAAAUAAGAUAUUAUACACUUAUUUCGAGAAUACAGCACCCUCACCUAAAUGCACACAAAA
This is a long non-coding RNA of Nematostella vectensis (starlet sea anemone), 717 nucleotides long. RefSeq lists it as uncharacterized. The transcript is spliced from 2 exons. The record is from RefSeq and is a predicted model, not a curated record. NCBI's taxonomy places the organism in Eukaryota, Metazoa, Cnidaria, Anthozoa, Actiniaria, Edwardsiidae.